Nicotiana tabacum (common tobacco) is the source of this 421-nucleotide non-coding RNA. The record is from RefSeq and is a predicted model, not a curated record. Lineage: Eukaryota; Viridiplantae; Streptophyta; Magnoliopsida; Solanales; Solanaceae.
GCCGCCUACGAAGAAAAUGGCGGCUCGCCUGAGACGAAUCCAUUUGCUAGUACUGCGAUUCGUGUGUAUCUUAGGGAAGUGAAAGAGUGUCAAGCUAAGGCCCGUGGCAUUGCGUAUAAGAAGAAACAAAAGAAAGCUAGCCCCAGCAAAGGAGAUGAUGAUUCCACUUCUGCAGGGUUUCUCUCAUUUUCUUGAUCCACUAAUGCAGUUAUUGCCUAGUUCCUCCCCAUCGAAAAUGGAUCUUGCAGAAGAUAGAAGGAAUUUGCCACUAAUUAGAAGUGGAAUUUCUUUUUUAUCAACUUUUAAGUCGGAUCACAUUUGUAAUAGCUAUAAAUAUAGCAGAAUUCAAAGAGUUGUUUUGUGAAUUCUAAAUCAUUUCUUGUAAGAUCAUAUAUCCUCUUUAUACAAGUAAGUUUUCCUA